CCCUUAGAGUUUGAUCCUGGCUCAGAACGAACGCUGGCGGCGUGCUUAACACAUGCAAGUCGAACGAGAAAGUGUCUUCGGACAUGAGUAGAGUGGCGCACGGGUGAGUAAUGGAUAGGAACGUACCAUUUGGUGGGGGAUAACCACGGGAAACUGUGGCUAAUACCGCAUGAGAUCGUAAGAUGAAAGAGGGCCUCUACUUGUAUGCUCUCGCCGAAUGAUCGGCCUAUCUCCCAUUAGCUUGUUGGUAGGGUAAUGGCCUACCAAGGCUACGAUGGGUAGCUGGUCUGAGAGGAUGAUCAGCCACACUGGAACUGAGACACGGUCCAGACUCCUACGGGAGGCAGCAGUGGGGAAUCUUGCACAAUGGGCGAAAGCCUGAUGCAGCAACGCCGCGUGAGUGAAGAAGGCUCUUGGGUCGUAAAGCUCUUUCGGCUAGGAAGAAGGGCGGUCAUGGCUAAUAUCCAUGAUGUUUGACGGUACUAGAAGAAGAAGCACCGGCUAAUUCCGUGCCAGCAGCCGCGGUAAUACGGAAGGUGCAAGCGUUGUUCGGAUUGACUGGGCGUAAAGGGCACGUAGGCGGGCUAGUAAGUCGGAUGUGAAAUCCCUGGGCUUAACCUGGGAACUGCAGUCGAUACUGCUGAUCUUGAAUACCUGAGAGGUUGGCGGAAUUCCUAGUGUAGGAGUGAAAUCCGUAGAUAUUAGGAGGAACACCAGAGCGAAGGCGGCCAACUGGCAGUGUAUUGACGCUGAGGUGCGAAAGCGUGGGUAGCAAACAGGAUUAGAUACCCUGGUAGUCCACGCCGUAAACUAUGGAUACUAGGUGUUUGGGGAAUUAACCCCCUGAGUACUGAAGCUAACGCAUUAAGUAUCCCGCCUGGGGAGUACGGUCGCAAGGCUAAAACUCAAAGGAAUUGACGGGGGCCCGCACAAGCGGUGGAGUAUGUGGUUUAAUUCGAAGCAACGCGCAGAACCUUACCUACCCUUAACAUUCCAGGCCAACUGCAGAGAUGCAGCUUUCUCUUCGGAGACCUGGGGAUAGGUGCUGCAUGGCUGUCGUCAGCUCGUGUCGUAAGAUGUCUGGUUAAGUCCAAUAACGAGCGCAACCCUUAUCCUCAGUUACCAGCAUUAAGUUGGGGACUCUGUGGAGACUGCCGAUGUUAAACCGGAGGAAGGCGGGGAUGACGUCAAGUCCUCAUGGCCCUUACGGGUAGGGCUACACACGUACUACAAUGGCAGAAACAAACCGCCGCGAAGCCGAGAGGUGGAGCUAAUCGGUAAAACACUGUCUCAGUCCGGAUUGGAGUCUGCAAUUCGACUCCAUGAAGUUGGAAUCGCUAGUAAUCGCUGAUCAGCAAGCAGCGGUGAAUACGUUCCCGGGCCUUGUACACACCGCCCGUCACACCACGAAAGUGGUCACCACCAGAAGUAAGUGAGCUAACUUCGGAGGCAGCUUACCAAGGUUGUGGUCGCGAUUGGGGUGAAGUCGUAACAAGGUAACCAAGGG
This 1507-nucleotide ribosomal RNA is filed under the name uncultured prokaryote. Its description in RNAcentral is "partial 16S ribosomal RNA". It matches the Rfam family "Bacterial small subunit ribosomal RNA". The record is from RNAcentral.